This 344-nucleotide ribosomal RNA is filed under the name uncultured Endozoicomonas sp. Its description in RNAcentral is "bacterial SSU rRNA". It matches the Rfam family "Bacterial small subunit ribosomal RNA", at positions 14 to 356 of the family's 1533-position model. Lineage: Bacteria; Pseudomonadati; Pseudomonadota; Gammaproteobacteria; Oceanospirillales; Endozoicomonadaceae. The record is from RNAcentral.
UGAUCAUGGCUCAGAUUGAACGCUGGCGGCAGGCCUAACACAUGCAAGUCGAGCGGUAGCGGGAAGAGCUUGCUCUUUGCCGACGAGCGGCGGACGGGUGCGUAACACGUAGGAAUCUGCCCGGUAGUGGGGGAUAGCCCGGAGAAAUCCGGAUUAAUACCGCAUACGCCCUAAGGGGGAAAGCAGGGGAUCUUCGGACCUUGCGCUAUCGGAUGAGCCUGCGUCGGAUUAGCUGGUUGGUGGGGUAAAGGCCUACCAAGGCAACGAUCCGUAGCUGGUCUGAGAGGAUGAUCAGCCACACUGGGACUGAGACACGGCCCAGACUCCUACGGGAGGCAGCAGUU